UGAAACAACGAUACACGUACGAUCACCGAAGUUAAGCAACGUUGAGCCUGGUCAUUACCGCGAUGGGUGACCAUUUGGGAAUACCAGGUGUUGUACG
Molecule: non-coding RNA, 97 nt
Organism: Acanthosepion pharaonis
Lineage: Eukaryota; Metazoa; Mollusca; Cephalopoda; Sepiida; Sepiidae
Source: the annotation of a GenBank genome assembly